UACGAAGGGGGCUAGCGUUGUUCGGAAUUACUGGGCGUAAAGCGCGCGCAGGCGGUCUUCCAAGUCAGUGGUGAAAGCCGGCAGCUCAACUCCGGAACUGCCAUUGAAACUGUAAGACUUGAGGAUGAGAGAGGUGAGUGGAAUUCCCAGUGUAGAGGUGAAAUUCGUAGAUAUUGGGAAGAACACCGGUGGCGAAGGCGGCUCACUGGCUCAUAUCUGACGCUCAGGCGCGACAGCGUGGGGAUCAAACAGG
This 253-nucleotide ribosomal RNA is filed under the name uncultured bacterium. Its description in RNAcentral is "partial 16S ribosomal RNA". It matches the Rfam family "Bacterial small subunit ribosomal RNA", at positions 524 to 776 of the family's 1533-position model. The record is from RNAcentral.